GUAGGUCCUCCUUCCUCGUGCCUCCGAAACAGCUCAGAAUCGUCGAGGCAUGGACUCCACAAGACCUCUGAAGGUGCGCUGUGGUAUCUGGAACCGAGACGUCGAUCCUUUAAGUCCUGUAAGUUGCGAGGUCGGCCCUCCAUGGGUUCUUCGGACUUGUUUGUCCAGGACGUCCCACAGACGCUCGAUCGGAUUGAGAUCUGGGGGAUUCGGAGAUCGAGUCAACACCUUGAACUCUUUGUCAUGUUCCUCAAAGCGUUCCUGAACAGGUGCUGUAGUGUGUCAGGGAGCGUUAUCCUGCUGAAAGAGGGAACUGAUAUUAGGGAAUAGCGUUACCAGGAAGGGGUGUACUCAAUCUGAAACAGUGUUUAGGUAGGUGGUUUGUGUUAAAGUAACAUCCACAUGAAUGACCCGAGGUUUCCCAGCAGAACAUUCCACAGAGCAUCACACUGCCUCCACCAGCUCGCCUCUUUCCCAUAGUGCAUCCUGGUGCCUUCUCUUCCCCAGUAACGGCUCAUUCACAGGGAUGCGUAUGGUGGAUGCCUCGUACAAACGGAUUUACGGAAGGAGUCUCCAGUGUCAUCUUCAGGUCAGCCUACACAAGGAGAAAUCACGUGCUGAUCAUAAAAGGAAAUGUGUGUGUGUGUGUGUGUGUGUGUGUGUUAUUAUUAUUAUUAUUAUUUUUUACAGUAUGGAGGAUGAAGGUUAAAACUCGACCCGAAACCCUGCGGCUAAACCAGACACCAAACAGACGCUUCACUACUGAGGAGGAAAUACAGUCUGACACUCGCUUCUCAUCACAUGAACACUGUAGGCAGCCAAAAAAGUGUGUGCGUGUGUGUGUGUGUGUGUGUGUGUGUGUGUGUGUGUGUGUGUG
Ictalurus punctatus (channel catfish) is the source of this 877-nucleotide long non-coding RNA. The record is from Ensembl. Lineage: Eukaryota; Metazoa; Chordata; Actinopteri; Siluriformes; Ictaluridae.